UAACGGCGAGUGAAGCGGGAUGAGCUCAAAUUUGAAAUCUGGCUGGUUUACUAGUCCGAGUUGUAAUUUAAAGAAGCGUUUUCGGUGGCAGCCUGGGUAUAAAUCCUUUGGAAUAGGGUAUCAUAGAGGGUGAGAAUCCCGUCUUUGACAUAGUGCAUGCUACUAUGUGAUACGUUUUCAAAGAGUCGAGUUGUUUGGGAAUGCAGCUCAAAAUGGGUGGUAAAUUUCAUCUAAAGCUAAAUAUUGGCGAGAGACCGAUAGCGAACAAGUACCGUGAGGGAAAGAUGAAAAGAACUUUGAAAAGAGAGUUAAACAGUGCGUGAAAUUGUUGAAAGGGAAACGUUUGACACCAGUCAUGUGGGUGGAAAAUCAGUCUUUUGCAUUGGGGAGUUGUAAGGGUUCGGACCGCAAGGCCGGCUUUUGCUUCAUCUUUGGUGUAAGUGAUGCACUUUUUCAUCUACAGGUCAACAUCAGUUUCUUUUGCUGGACAAAACUCCGAGAGAAGGUAGCAGCUUAGGCUGUGUUAUAGCUCUGGAGCGAUACAGUGAAGGGGACUGAGGUUUUCGCAGCGUGUGCUCUCGGGCAAGGCUGGAUGGGUGCUAUGGGAUCGUUCGGGGUACAAUGCCUGGCAUUUUGCUUCGUGUCUUUUCUAUACUCGCUCAACUCAGCUCUUCCACGCUUAGGAUGUUGACUUAAUGGUUUUAAACGACCCGUCUUGAAACACGGACCAAGGAGUCUAACAUAUAUGCAAGUGUUUGGGUGGCAAACCCAUGCGCGUAAUGAAAGUGAACGUAGGUGCGAUCCGCAAGGUGCAGCAUCGACCGAUCUUGAUAUUUUUGGAUAGAUUUGAGUAAGAGCAUAUAUGCUGGGACCCGAAAGAUGGUGAACUAUGCCUGAAUAGGGUGAAGCCAGAGGAAACUCUGGUGGAGGCUCGUAGCGAUUCUGACGUGCAAAUCGAUCGUCAAAUUUGGGUAUAGGGGCGAAAGACUAAUCGAACCAUCAGAGGUGCCAC
Molecule: ribosomal RNA, 1012 nt
Filed under: Podila minutissima
Lineage: Eukaryota; Fungi; Mortierellomycota; Mortierellomycetes; Mortierellales; Mortierellaceae
Description: partial large subunit ribosomal RNA
Rfam family: Eukaryotic large subunit ribosomal RNA
Source: RNAcentral